Molecule: ribosomal RNA, 709 nt
Filed under: uncultured bacterium
Lineage: Bacteria
Description: bacterial SSU rRNA
Rfam family: Bacterial small subunit ribosomal RNA
Source: RNAcentral
AGAGUUUGAUCCUGGCUCAGAGCGAACGCUGGCGGCAGGCCUAACACAUGCAAGUCGAGCGCCCGUAGCAAUACGGGAGCGGCAGACGGGAGAGUAACACGUGGGAACGCGCCCUUCGGUUCGGAAUAACUCAGGGAAACUUGAGCUAAUACCGGAUACGCCCUUACGGGGAAAGAUUUAUUGCCGAAGGAACGGCCCGCGUCCGAUUAGCUUGUUGGUGAGGUAACGGCUCACCAAGGCGACGAUCGGUAGCUGGUCUGAGAGGAUGACCAGCCUCACUGGGACUGAGACACGGCCCAGACUCCUACGGGAGGCAGCAGUGGGGAAUAUUGGACAAUGGGCGCAAGCCUGAUCAGCCAUGCCGCGUGGAUGAUGAAGGCCCUAGGGUUGUAAAGUCCUUUUAACAGGGAAGAUAAUGACGGUACCCGUAGAAUAAGCCCCGGCUAACUUCGUGCCAGCAGCCGCGGUAAUACGAAGGGGGCUAGCGUUGCUCGGAAUUACUGGGCGUAAAGCGCACGUAGGCGGCUUCUUAAGUCGGUGGUGAAAUCCUGGAGCUCAACUCCAGAACUGCCUUCGAUACUGGGAAGCUCGAGUUCGGGAGAGGUGAGUGGAACUGCGAGUGUAGAGGUGAAAUUCGUAGAUAUUCGCAAGAACACCAGUGGCGAAGGCGGCUCACUGGCCCGAUACUGACGCUGAGGUGCGAAAGCGU